RNAcentral lists this ribosomal RNA (347 nucleotides) under uncultured bacterium. RNAcentral describes it as "bacterial SSU rRNA". It matches the Rfam family "Bacterial small subunit ribosomal RNA", at positions 167 to 507 of the family's 1533-position model. The record is from RNAcentral.
UACCGCAUACGAUCUAUGGAUAGAAAGGCGGGGGAUCGCAAGACCUCGCGCGAUUGGAGCGGCCGAUGUCAGAUUAGCUAGUUGGUGGGGUAAAGGCCCACCAAGGCGACGAUCUGUAGCUGGUCUGAGAGGACGACCAGCCACACUGGGACUGAGACACGGCCCAGACUCCUACGGGAGGCAGCAGUGGGGAAUUUUGGACAAUGGGCGCAAGCCUGAUCCAGCAAUGCCGCGUGCAGGAAGAAGGCCUUCGGGUUGUAAACCGCUUUUGUCAGGGAAGAAACGCUCUGGGUUAAUACCUCGGGGUAAUGACGGUACCUGAAGAAUAAGCACCGGCUAACUACGUG